GACGAACGCUGGCGGCGUGCUUAACACAUGCAAGUCGAACGGAAAGGCCCUGCUUGCAGGGUACUCGAGUGGCGAACGGGUGAGUAACACGUGGGUGAUCUGCCCUGCACUUCGGGAUAAGCCUGGGAAACUGGGUCUAAUACCGGAUAGGAGCCAUUUUUAGUGUGAUGGUUGGAAAGUUUUUUCGGUGUAGGAUGAGCUCGCGGCCUAUCAGCUUGUUGGUGGGGUAAUGGCCUACCAAGGCGGCGACGGGUAGCCGGCCUGAGAGGGUGGACGGCCAGAUGGGGAAAGAGAUAGGCCCGAGACCCAGCGGGGGGGAAGAGGGGGGAAAUAUGGAAAAGGGGGCAAAGGCGGGAGGCGGCGCGGCGGGGGGGGGGAGGACGGCCUGCGGUUUGUAAACUCUUUGCGCAGGGGAAGAAGUUUUUGGGAGGGUACAAAAAAAAGAGAAACGGACAAAAUAGGGC
Molecule: ribosomal RNA, 464 nt
Filed under: uncultured bacterium
Lineage: Bacteria
Description: partial 16S ribosomal RNA
Rfam family: Bacterial small subunit ribosomal RNA
Source: RNAcentral